RNAcentral lists this ribosomal RNA (301 nucleotides) under uncultured bacterium. Its description in RNAcentral is "partial 16S ribosomal RNA". It matches the Rfam family "Bacterial small subunit ribosomal RNA", at positions 509 to 807 of the family's 1533-position model. The record is from RNAcentral.
CAGUAGCCGCGGUAAUACGUAGGGUGCAAGCGUUAAUCGGAAUUACUGGGCGUAAAGCGUGCGCAGGCGGUUUGUUAAGACAGAUGUGAAAUCCCCGGGCUCAACCUGGGAACUGCAUUUGUGACUGGCAAGCUAGAGUAUGGCAGAGGGGGGUGGAAUUCCGCGUGUAGCAGUGAAAUGCGUAGAUACGCGGAGGAACACCGAUGGCGAAGGCAGCCCCCUGGGCCAAUACUGACGCUCAUGCACGAAAGCGUGGGGAGCAAACAGGAUUAGAUACCCCCGUAGUCCCUGUCUCUUAUAC